CAAACACAGUUAAGAGCUGUGUCAUAUGGAAUCAAAAUGCAGGGGUGGUAGUAACAUGUAACAGUGUUCUUAGGCUAGAUGAGAGGGUGUACAAACAUACUGCCAAAGUGUCCUGUGACGUAUGAGCCAUAUGCUGUGGCAUUCCCUUUCUUGCUAUAGAUAUCUGUUGUGUUGUACUUCCUGCUACUCACUGCUUCAAUAUUGUAGGUUUUUUUGACCUGAAGAGAAAUCACAAAAAGGCUUGGGUCUCUUCUGAUUUAUGGCUUCAUCAACAGGAUGUUCUCACACAAUACCAAGUCUCUCAGGGAAUGCCAGAAUCCCCAAGAAGCUCCUUAAUGAGAUGCAGUGUAGAGGAUACAAAACAUAUUGCUGAUUUGGGGAGUCCUGCAGUACACAGAUGAUCUCUGACAUUUGGUGAUCCUAUCUUCCUGUUGGGGCUUGAAGCUGAUUUGCUAUCGAGGUUACAAAUAAUAAAGCUACUGCAUUUGGAUUAUGGCCUUCCUAAUUCUUCAGUAUGCUUCCAGCCUCUGCAAAAAUUAUGAUGGCUGUGGGGCUGAUGCACCAGCUGGCAAUAGGCUGCUGAAGAGUCUGUCAGUGUAUGUACAGCCAGGGCACAUUGUGUCCUGAUGACUCCUGCCCUGCUUCUGUGUGCUUCUGAGAUGCCUUCAAGGCAGAUUGCGAAAUGGUGAUUGUGGAGACAGAGAAAAACAAACAACAACAACAACAACAACAACUACAACAACAAAAGAUAUGGGCACAUAGCUGAGUUUAUGAGAGAAUGCAUGUGUUUGGCAGCUAACAAAAUACUGGCUACAGGAGACUUUAUCACAGUCUGUGUCAAAAUUAAAAUGAAUACCUAGAAUAAUGUUUUCCAUUAUGGACUAGAGCCAAACUAUCACCCAUGAAGCUUAUUUAGGGGCUUUCCUGUGACUUCGCAUUGCUAAAGAAACACUUCAUAUGCUUAGUUUAUCAAAAAUAAAGAUCAUCAAUUUCCUGUCCAGCUAGAUGUUAUAUAUCACAUGUGGUUUCAACACACUUUGGAUCUUCUUCAGAUGAAAGAAGAUAAGUAAAAUAAACUAUCUUCAUUGUUGUUGUGACUAUUAAGUUACUUGAAAUGAGAUUGGCAGCUUUUCAGUAAUCUGAUUCUUAAAAUAUUCAUUUCCUAUAGAACACAUGAUAAAUGAAGAAGUGGAUAGCAUGGAUGAGACCUAUGGUAGAAUAGGUCAGAAAUAAAGUCUUACAGAAACCAAGAGAAAAUUAGUA
Anas platyrhynchos (mallard) is the source of this 1263-nucleotide long non-coding RNA. RefSeq lists it as uncharacterized. NCBI's taxonomy places the organism in Eukaryota, Metazoa, Chordata, Aves, Anseriformes, Anatidae. The record is from RefSeq and is a predicted model, not a curated record.